This 449-nucleotide ribosomal RNA is filed under the name uncultured bacterium. Its description in RNAcentral is "partial 16S ribosomal RNA". It matches the Rfam family "Bacterial small subunit ribosomal RNA", at positions 330 to 793 of the family's 1533-position model. The record is from RNAcentral.
GCCAGACUCCUACGGGAGGCAGCAGUGGGGAAUAUUGGGCAAUGGGCGCAAGCCUGACCCAGCAACGCCGCGUGAAGGAAGAAGGCUUUCGGGUUGUAAACUUCUUUUCUCAGGGACGAAGCAAGUGACGGUACCUGAGGAAUGAGCCACGGCUAACUACGUGCCAGCAGCCGCGGUAAUACGUAGGUGGCAAGCGUUAUCCGGAUUUACUGGGUGUAAAGGGCGUGUAGGCGGGAAAGCAAGUCAGAUGUGAAAACCAUGGGCUCAACCUGUGGCCUGCAUUUGAAACUGUUUUUCUUGAGUACUGGAGAGGUCAUCGGAAUUCCUUGUGUAGCGGUGAAAUGCGUAGAUAUAAGGAAGAACACCAGUGGCGAAGGCGGAUGACUGGACGGCAACUGACGGUGAGGCGCGAAAGCGUGGGGAGCAAACAGGAUUAGAUACCCUAGUAU